UACGGAGGAUCCAAGCGUUAUCCGGAUUUAUUGGGUUUAAAGGGUGCGUAGGCGGAAUAAUAAGUCAGUGGUGAAAUCCUACAGCUUAACUGUAGAAUUGCCGUUGAUACUGUUGUUCUUGAGUAUAGUUGAAGUGGGCGGAAUGUGUCGUGUAGCGGUGAAAUGCUUAGAUAUGACACAGAACACCGAUUGCGAAGGCAGCUCACUAAACUGUAACUGACGCUGAGGCACGAAAGCGUGGGUAGCGAACAGG
This 253-nucleotide ribosomal RNA is filed under the name uncultured bacterium. Its description in RNAcentral is "partial 16S ribosomal RNA". It matches the Rfam family "Bacterial small subunit ribosomal RNA", at positions 524 to 776 of the family's 1533-position model. The record is from RNAcentral.